RNAcentral lists this unclassified non-coding RNA (219 nucleotides) under plant metagenome. RNAcentral describes it as "partial contains small subunit ribosomal RNA, internal transcribed spacer 1, and 5.8S ribosomal RNA". The record is from RNAcentral.
UCUCCGUAGGUGAACCUGCGGAAGGAUCAUUCAUAAUAAGUGUUUUACUGCACUUUUUAAUAAUCAGUAUUCACCUUUUGUGCAAUGUUUGCUGACGAGUUCGCAUUUUUACGCGUUCUUGACAGCAUAAUACCAACCCUUUAUUGAAAUUUUUUGUCUGAAGAUUUUUUGAAUACAUAAUUCGAAAUACAACUUUUAACAACGGAUCUCUUGGCUCUC